Juglans regia (Persian walnut) is the source of this 5921-nucleotide long non-coding RNA. RefSeq lists it as uncharacterized. The transcript is spliced from 3 exons. Lineage: Eukaryota; Viridiplantae; Streptophyta; Magnoliopsida; Fagales; Juglandaceae. The record is from RefSeq and is a predicted model, not a curated record.
UCUUCCCCCUCUCGCGACCUCACCACUCUCUUCCCCCUGCUGCGACCUCACCUAGUCACCCAGAGCCAGUCUCCCCCACCCCCCGCACAACCUUCCCAAACCAUGCACCUCCGUAGGCCGUAGUCCACACGAUAAGCCUCUCUCUCUCUCUCUCUCUCUCUCUCUUCUCCCUUCAUCUUCUCUUUCUUUUCUCUCAUCUUCUUCUCUGUCUCUGAGUUGAUUUCUGUGUGAUUUGGUAGUGGAAAUGGAAAAUAGAAAAUGUGAAUUUGUGUAAUUUGUGAUGAUAUGAUUGUGUAAAAUUUGUGUAAUUUUGUGAUGAUAUGGUUGUGUAAAAUUUGUGUUGAUGAGUUUGUGUAAAAUCUGUAUAAUUUUGUAAUGAUGAGUUUGUGUAAAAUAUGUAUAACUAAAAUAGGAUGGAUGUUGCAGUUGAUGAGUUUGUGUCAAAUCUGUGUAGGAUCACAUCUUGAGUUUGCUUGAGAGACAUGAAAGUUAUGAAUUUGAAGGCUGAUAAUGGUAAUAGUAGUAGGGGGUGAUGUUGUAGAAGUGAGUAUGUAAUUAAGAUAGAGAGGGGUGAUAAUGCUAAAAGUUUUAUUUCCCACAUAUUUUGGUGUGUAUAGUGAACUAGGGUGGUCCCAUAUAUGUAUGAUAAAUGAGCGAAUUAAUUAAGGUAACACCCGUUAGAUUUGUAAGAUGUCAUGAUCUUCCAUGUCAUGUUAUAUAGACAAAGAGUCAAAUUAAUGUUUAUUAAUUACAUGGUCAUUUACAUGUGUGAUCAUGACCAAUUACAAGGGAAGCUUGUAAUUAAUUAAUUAUUAGAUUUUAUGGUACUCUGCUUGCAAGGCUAAAUGCCCCUAAUAUAGAAACCACCCCCAACAUGAUAUUCGUCUCCUUGAAGAUCAUUUCAAUGAGGCCGGGGCUAUGUGUGUGUGUGUGUGUGUGUUAAGAUAUGUAGAAUUUAUAUAUAUAUAUGCUAAUAUCAUAAUUAAUGUAGCAAACAAGAAAUGGUCUGAAGUGAACUAGUUGGCUUGAUCAUGAAGAUGCCUCUCAUUGAAAAAAAGCCCCUCAAUGUCAAUUUCAUGAAGCUACAAAUUAAGCCAUGCCCCAUGCCUACACAUGAAUCCAAAACACUGCUCAUGGAAAUGACACUUUCAUCUAUCUAGUCAUGUUUACUCGUAAACAUCUGGCUGCUUUGUUUAUAGCUUUAUAUUAGUCUGUUAAGUCAUGGCAAGUUGAAUAUCCAGCUAGCCUAUUGAUGAAACAACUUUAUAGGGUUGAGACUUAGAUUGAUCUCUUCUAACUUUCUACUUGAAUUUGAUCAUCCAAUUAAUUCAAGAAAGACAUAAUAUUAAAUGUCCAGGUGGAACUUACACGGUCUAGCUACAAGCGGCCUAAUUAGCUUGUACGUUUGACAUAAAAUGUUACAAAUUAAGUCCACUAAUUAAUGUGUAUAUAUGUUGGAUCAUUCAAUUCGAAUAGAGAAUUGCUUGAAAAUAUCUCUCUCCUAUUUUAUAUGCAGGUAUCAAAUGCAAAGAAAAUAAAUGGAAACAUAGGUAGUAGCUAGCUAUAUAUUAAAUUGCAAUAGAAGAUUAAAAAAGAAGACUACAUAAAUAUUAAUCCACCCUUAAUAUAAUAGGGGUGGUACUUUGCUUUUUCUAAGAAUAGGGGUGGUGCUUUGGUUUUUAUUAGUCCUUUAUUUAAAGAAUAUUUGGAUAAAUAAUAAGUAGAAAAAGAACUUAAUGAAAUGAAGAUGUUUUUUAUGUGAUGACCCAUGCAUCAGAGUAGGUUCUUAAAAUCAUGUUUUCUAUUUUAGUAUAAUACUUAACAUAGACAGCCAGAGAAGUCGCUCUUGUUACACUUGAAAAUGACUAGUUCAACAAUAUUAAUGUGGUAUGUGAUGGCUUCCCUAUGAAAUGUGGUAUUUGUUCUACUUGAAGAGAUUAUGAUGCUAGCCAUUAAUGCUAGAAAACAUCUAAUAGAUUAGAUGUUGCCCUUAAUAUUCAUCAAAAAGAGAUUAUAUGUUUUCAAUUGAAAGUGAUAAUAGAGUCUUUUGCACUUCCAACCUAGCCUAGACCUGUUGGUUUGAUAGGAGGAUUGUUAUGGCAUCGUGACAUUGAAAAUUUCCAAGACGACCCUAUCAACAAGCUAUACAUGAUGAAUCAAAUGCUAGCGCUUUAGAAAUUGUAUUACAAUCCACAGGGUUACCUAUAUGUUCAAUGAGAUAGUCACAUUGACCACAAACGAGAUAUCAAGUCUUGUAAUAGACAGCUAUGUUGACUUUUCUGCACAUCUCUAUACUUUCUUGGAAGCUCUCCUUGACCAACUAUAGAUGAUUGAGAUUUGGAUCCAUUAGAGUGCCAACUUGGUUUGAAUCAUAAUAAACCUGUAUAUUCCAAUGCCAAUGUGUAUACUUCUUUUGAGUGAGGCUAGUCCCACUAGCAGCCUGAGCCAUCUCUAUGCCAAUAGAUCAAUAUCUAAGCUUCUCUAUGUCUUAGUUAUAAAAUUAGAUUAACAUAAAUGCUUUAAUUCUUCAGUUCUCUUAGUAUCUUUGUCUUCUGGAAUGAUAUUAUCAACUUUUACUACGUACCAACGUGAGUAUAGAAUGUAGCCAAUGAACUGAAUGAUUUGUUUGACCUCGUGAUAUACCAAAUUCUAGUGCUAUCUCUUCAAAUUUCCCAAACCAUGCUCUAGGCAACGGCGUCAAACCAUAAAUUAAAUCCUUAAUUCACCUUCCCUAACUCCUUUGCUAACUCCUUCCCAUCCAAACCACACCUAGGUCUUGCAUUGGAACUAUCCAGCUUCAUUAAUGAGCACCUAUAUUUUUAUGUUGCCUUUAAUAUUCAUCAUUCACUGUGUCCUUUAUGGAACUACCAACAAAUAUUGGUGUGGCAGUGUACUUUCAAAUCCCACAGUUUGUCCAACAACAUCAACUUCCAAUGCAGAUUAAACAACAUGUGCUAGCUUCUAGGUCUCCUGCUCAUCUCAUGCUGUUUUCUAAAGCAUGAGAUGAGUACAUUCUGAAAUUCUGAUUUAUAAACUAUGAGCAAUACUUAACAUUUGAUAGAAAUAAGGUAGUGCGGACGCCUGGGAAUAGUAGGAAGGGCAUCUAUCCAACUCAGAUUUAUGUUAGAAGACCAGUAGGAGGUGGCUUGCACUCAAUCCAUUCCAAAGUAAGGGGUGAGUGUCUUGAUACCACUUCCUAAUUCUUAUAAACUCCAUUUCAGUGCCAAGUGGCCCGCUUUAUUAUUUUGAUGGCAUAUAAAAGUAGUUCGUUAUCAACCAUUGUAUUCAGUAGUCGAGUGAGUUGGAUUGAAAGUACAUGUGAAAAUGAGGCAUGCAAGCUGGAGUGUGGUAGACGACAAGGAGAAGCACAAGCUUAUCAAUUGUGUUAGGGCAGACUUUGUGUUGGAUUGGACAAAAGAGAACCAUCACGAAGAUGUGGUAAAUGCACUCGCUGAUAAGUACAAUACAUACCACUAUGAACUAUACAAGCACUACCUAAAAUAUGCAUCACAUGAAGAGACACUAGCUGGUCGGAAAGGGUUGGUGGAGCCACAUGUUUGGGAGUGGCUAUGUGAAAGGUGGACCAACAGCACAUUCAAGAAUCUUAUGGUAUAAAGGUCGAAUGAGAAAGACUUAGAAGAGGAUGUCGAUGAAGUUGCUGCCUUUGUUUUCAAAGAGGUCCUUGGGUUCAGUAUAGGCUAUGCACAAUGGCUGGGCCACUCAGUCAUUCCUGAGCCCUCCCCUGCUCCGCAAAAGAACAAGGCAAUUAUAUGCAUGGCCGAGGAGAAUGAAAGGAACAAGAAAUGUGCAGACAUUUACAAGACUCAACUAGAGUCACUUUUGGGUGAUAUGGCUGCUUUGCGAAAACAGUUUCUGAGCAUGACAAACAAUUGAACAUGAUAUCAUCAUAGUUGGAGUGUUGGGGAUUUUUGUAUUUUGUGUUCCCCCUAUGGACAUGAUGGCUGUGUGUUAAAUGCCAACGUUUUGAUGGGUAGUGUGGGCAGGUUUGGGGUAUUUUGAUAGAGAGGGUGGCAGGUGGUUAUAUCAGUAUAUUGUGUUGGGAAUAUAUAACACACUAUCUCCAUGUAAGUAGCUACAAAGGUUGUGUGAUGGUAUGCAUCAGGUAAUGGUUAAAAAAGAGUCAGUGAGUAUCUUCGAGAAGGACAAUGAUGGCUUGUAGGGCUUUUCACCUGAAUCAUCUGAGAUUGACUUAUAAUCUGUUUUUGCAGGGGUACAUUUUGAGCAUUAAGGUAGCUGCAUUCACAAGGAUUCUAGCAUACUCCAGUUCUGUAAAAUGGCAACCACCAACAGAAUACAGCAAAUAUUACUGGAUAGGAGCAAAAGAUCCAGUGAUGGUAUAUGUUACUUUCAUAUAACUAUUAUUUAUUACUUAAGUUCAUAGCUCAUGAUGUUGUUAUAUGGAAGGUGUGAUAAAAAAGAUAGUCUGUUUAUAAUAGUUCCAGAUUUGUUGUUGACUACUGUAUAUGGAGAAUAAUUACCUUGGAUUAAUAAAAGUAACUAAUGUAAAGAGAAGAUAUUAGUCAUUUUUUGUAAAAAACACUUGGCUGGUUGCAUUUUUAUAAGUUUGUUCUUAAUAUGAAAAUUUUACAUCUUUAUAUCUUUUCGAGUGGAACCAAAAGGCGUUUGAAACGAUGCUUGAAUUAAAACGUCAUGAAUACUUAGGUAAUUAUUUCUUUCAAUUCUAAAUGAGGAUUAUGCUCAAUUCCCAAUUGGUAUGCUUACUGAUGGUGCUUUUAUGGAAUAUGUCCAGAUGAUUAAUGUACUGUUUGGAUUAGGAUUGGUUCCAAAGCUUAUAUAUUGGAGCUGUCAUGCAUAUUCAUUGUGGUACAGUAGGCUUUAUGUGAUAAAGUAUUACUGGAGUGAUGGUUGGACAUAUGGGAAAGUUGCUCAUAGGAUACUGCAUUGGCUAAACAUGUGGUCUGAUUGCCAACAAAUGGUGUUAGUAUUUCUUGUAAUAGUUUUUUGUUACUUGGGAACUUACCAUAUAGUCUGAAUUGAUCUCUUGUAAAUGAGCAAAGAGUUUUAGGGAGAUUUAUGUCAGCAAAUUUGUUUUGAAUAGUGUUCACUAUUGAUUUGUUGUGGACUUUUGAGAUAUAAAACCAAACAAUGAAGUUGGAAAUGGGCUAGAGCUAGAACCGAGGCCUGAUAAUAGUUGUUUCUUGGUAAUGGUUUUGAGUUAAAUAUGUUCUGAUUUGGCCUUCACACAAGUUAAAAUCCUUUGUCUCAUAUGGUUCAUACUGACAUAUAUAUGGCAUCUACCUUGUAGUGUACUUUAUUGUAUACUAAUAAUCAGGAGGUGAAAACAGGAUGUGCAAUUUUGUCUGUAUUUCUAGGGAAAAUAUGUAUUGGCUCAAGGGUUUAUUCUUUCCUGAGUUCUUGGAUAAAUUAUCUAUUGCAGCUUUAUCCAUAUGGUUUGCUGGAGGAUUUUACCAUAUACAUGAUUGAGUUUGAAAUAUUAUAAAUCCAUAGUUAGUAUUAAGAGAGAUAUAUGUUAGGAUUUCAUUACUAUGAUCGCUGUGAAUUUGUUUGUUGUAUUGGAUAAGGCUAUUGCUGUUGAGGCAAAUGUUUGUGCUAUCUUUCGAGGUCAUUAUCAGCCAUCUGAAAUGUGUGGAUGUAGAUGCUACCGCAGUAAUUUGGGCAGAUCAAGUUAAGCUGUCUAAUACAGUUCAUGUGAAUGAAGCUAUCAGGAGAUCAUGCCAUUUGGAGCCAAGUUGUAUGAGUAUAUGUAGAACAAACAUUGUUAUAUGGGUUAUAAAAUAGUAUGCAUAAUCAUGUUGACGGCCCUCUUGUCCCUCCCAAUCAGUAAACAUUAAUGUAUUUCCAUUCUCUUCAAUGAACAGUGGAACAUGCGUGAAUGAUGUAAAUAUUGAUAUAUAAAUGAUGUUAUAUGGCUGUGGGUG